GCCUCCUUGUUUAAUUACCUUAACAGGAGCUAAAUUUGGAGAUAGGUGGGGUUCUCUCUUGUCUCGCUCCAGCCUCAGCCUUAGACAAGCCCUGCGCAAAGGGUGGAACUUUCUCGGCCGUCCUGCCGCUUCUCCCUGUGGCAGCUGAACUCUGCCUGUAUCUGUUGUUGGUCUUGCCUGAGAAUUUCUUGCCCAAGAGAUUUUACACCUACUUUUUCCAGAAUAAAUGGAUCUUUGUGCACUAGGGGCAAGAGGGUGUUUUAUCUCUCCGCAGGUAGCUCAAGGCUUAACUUGGCAGGAGAGAAGUUUCCGUGAAAGUCGGCAGGUUUUUUCCUGUUCUCCACAGCCGCUGAGGAUCUGCUCCAUACCUGUUUCAUCGAGGGGCAUUCUCUCUGAUUUCCUGCCCUGCCCCCAUCCUUUCCCAUGAGCGCCUGGAGAGGCAAACAAGAGCUCGAGAGAGAAGGAUAAAGUUUAGUAAGCAGCUUCAUUUUGAAUAACAGCGAAACUGAGACCUGCUAGAACAAGGUUCUUCACUUUUCGUUUUUUUCAUGUCUCAGCUUUAAACAAAAUUCUGCAUUGAGGCCUGGAGCACUUAUGCUUCUACGCUGAUAUUACCCGGCAGUCCCUAACGUGGAAUACCCUGAAUGAGCAACUCUGUUCCCCCACCGCACCCCCAUGUUCUGACACUCUUGUGCUCAUCAUCAAGCCCAAAACCUACUGAAGCUAAGGAUGUGUCUCUCCACUUCGCGGUCCCUGUGUAGGUCAAGUCCCUAAGACUGAGCACCACUUUGGAUCCCCCUCCCAAGUGCUAAUUAAUAAUUUUGUCUAAAAUAGUAGUUUUUUUCAAGGGUGUAAGACUUGCCCCUGGGCCCUGGUACAGGGAUUAAAGACCUCCAAGCCAAGAAACAAUCUCCAGGACAAUGACCAUCAGCCUGAUAGGAAUUCCCAAUAACAAAACAGCCUGCUAGAGACCCCCACCAAGCUCUUGUCCCCCUACCUUUUCCCAUUAGGGUCAUCUGUGUCAUGCUGAGUAUCACGUGGGGAUCCCUAUUCCCCAAGAGCUGAGAUUGACGAUGCGUGUGUAAGUAACACAGAGAUGGCUUGUGGACUAUCUUCAGUAAUUAAAAACAGCCCCUGUUGCGUUAUUCCUAGACCACUCCCAUGUGUCAAACCAACUCAAUGUUCACGCCCAGGAACUAAAAAUAAAGGGCCAGGAGAAAUAUGAAAAAAGAAGCAAAUGGCAUGAAAUACCUCAAGUUGUUAUCUUCUGAUUCACUCACCUCCCCAAUUACCCUGUUUAUUCAUUUGGAAUAAAUGUGAUACAGCAGUUUCAGAGCUAACAGCUCCUAUUAAACAAUGACUCAGCUUUGUGAUUCCCCAACUUUCCUACUCUGGGGAGAGCCAGAAGAAAAGGGUUCUCUCUCAAAGAGAAUGGACCUCCGUCAACUACAGUUUCUUGUGCUACAAAUGGUAGCUGUUAACAAUAAUGCCUUUCAUAGAACCCUUGCGAGGAUCAAACUAGACAGCAAUAUGUAUAUAAGUUCCUUGCAAACUAUAAUGGUGCUAUGUUUCAUUGUGUUAUAAAUGUCUUGAGGUUUUUCAGGGAAGGGGGAUGACCGUGGUGUAGUGUUAUUCAACAAAUUCCUUAACGUUCUGAGUUUAGCAGUAAAGAGAACUGGAGAGUUAAUUUUAAUUUGUAUAUAAUGACAAAUGAAAUAGGUAAUAUUUGUAGAUACAGAUGACUUUACCAAUAAUGACAAUGUAGUGCAUAAAGGCACAUUGGGGCUUUAGGGUUACUUUGGCAAUUGCUGAUGCUAUUAUAUAUAUGUAAACUCAAAAGAGAGGCUCCCAUUAAAGAAAAAGAAUUCCCAGCCAAGAGGCUGGCCUGUUGGCGUAGUGGCUAAGUUUGUGCACUUCACUUCAGCGGCCCAGGGUUUUCCAGUUUGGAUCCUGGGUGUGGACCUAUGCGCCACUUAUCAAGCCAUGCUGUGGUGGCAUCCCACCUGGAAGAACUCACAACUAGGAAAUACAACUGUGUACUGGGGCUUUGGGGAGAAAAGAAAAGAGGAAGAUUGAUUACAGAUGUUGGCUCGGGGUGAUCUUCCUCACCAAGAAUGUCUGCAAACAAACAAAAAAACCUUUGGAUCAAAAUGAGUAUUUAAAAAAAAAUUCCCAGCCAAGAGUCACUUAAUCAAACCUUAUUUUUAAGAAUGGCAUUUGCUCAUUUUGUCGUCUUCAUUAUUCCCAUUCGUGUAACGUUGGAAGAAAAAAAUGAUGUCAGUUGGUAUUUCCAACCAUUUAGGCAUAAUCAGCAGCAGAUGUAAGAUUUGUAAGGAUGUAACAAUUCCUUCAAUAAUCCCCUGAAACUGCUUGUUCACUUCCAUUGCCUACAAAUAAAAGAGAAUUGCUCAUUAAUAAAACUGAAUAUCUCAAUAACACAGUGGGAUUGUAUUAUUUUAAUGUGCCAUUGUGAAUUGAUCAUGCAUUGCUUUUUAUUUUACUUUUGCUUUGGAAAGUGACAAUUCUGGUACCUUAAAUAGUCC
RNAcentral lists this long non-coding RNA (2543 nucleotides) under Equus caballus (horse). Its description in RNAcentral is "lncRNA (ENSECAG00000028957.2)". Lineage: Eukaryota; Metazoa; Chordata; Mammalia; Perissodactyla; Equidae. The record is from RNAcentral.